This 313-nucleotide ribosomal RNA is filed under the name uncultured eukaryote. RNAcentral describes it as "eukaryotic LSU rRNA". The stretch from base 258 to 313 matches the Rfam family "Eukaryotic large subunit ribosomal RNA", at positions 1 to 56 of the family's 3401-position model. The record is from RNAcentral.
AGCGACUAGCGUGAAUCAUCGAAUCUUUGAACGCACUUUGCACUGUCUGGAACCCUGGACAGUAUACCUGUUUGAGUAUUGUUUCAAAUUCGCAAACUGAUUUGCAUAAUCGCAAUGAGGUUUGUGGUGCUGAGGAUUAAUGGUUACCCUAUUUUUCUUUAAACACAAUUAUUCGAUCUAUUGGAGUAGUCCUUACGGUACCUCUCUUAGUUUCGACAUCAUUGAAAAAUCGACCUGCCAUGGGGAGAUUUGAUUUACAAUCUCAAAUCAGGUAAGAUUACCCGCUGAACUUAAGCAUAUCAAUAAGCGGAGG